RNAcentral lists this ribosomal RNA (214 nucleotides) under Campeiostachys nutans. RNAcentral describes it as "Elymus nutans partial small subunit ribosomal RNA". The stretch from base 37 to 214 matches the Rfam family "Eukaryotic small subunit ribosomal RNA", at positions 684 to 864 of the family's 1831-position model. Lineage: Eukaryota; Viridiplantae; Streptophyta; Magnoliopsida; Poales; Poaceae. The record is from RNAcentral.
GGAUCAAUAUGUCGGUCGUGCCUCGGUACGUACUGGUAUUGUUGGUUUCUUCCUUCUGACGAACCUUGAUGUCAUUAAUUUGGUGUCUUGGGGAAUCAGGACUGUUACUUUGAAAAAAUUAGAGUGUUCAAAGCAGGCAAUUCGCUUGGAUACAUUAGCAUGGAAUAAUGGAAUAGGACAAUGGUUCUAUUUGUUGGUUUCUAGGAUUGACGUA